RNAcentral lists this unclassified non-coding RNA (349 nucleotides) under soil metagenome. Its description in RNAcentral is "partial contains 5.8S ribosomal RNA, internal transcribed spacer 2, and large subunit ribosomal RNA". The stretch from base 1 to 120 matches the Rfam family "5.8S ribosomal RNA", at positions 35 to 154 of the family's 154-position model. The record is from RNAcentral.
GAUGAAGAACGUAGUGAAAUGCGAUAAGUAAUGUGAAUUGCAGAAUUCAGUGAAUCAUCGAGUCUUUGAACGCACAUUGCGCCCCCUGGUAUUCCGGGGGGCAUGCCUGUCCGAGCGUCAUUGCUGCCCUCAAGCACGGCUUGUGUGUUGGGCCCCCGUCCCCGGUUCUCCCCGGGGACGGGCCCGAAAGGCAGCGGCGGCACCGCGUCCGAUCCUCGAGCGUAUGGGGCUUUGUCACCCGCUCUGUAGGCCCGGCCGGCGCCAGCCGACACCCCAACUUUAUUUUCUAAGGUUGACCUCGGAUCAGGUAGGGAUACCCGCUGAACUUAAGCAUAUCAAUAACGGAGGA